AAAUUGAAGAGUUUGAUCAUGGCUCAGAUUGAACGCUGGCGGCAGGCCUAACACAUGCAAGUCGAACGGUAACAGGAAGCAGCUUGCUGCUUCGCUGACGAGUGGCGGACGGGUGAGUAAUGUCUGGGAAACUGCCUGAUGGAGGGGGAUAACUACUGGAAACGGUGGCUAAUACCGCAUAACGUCGCAAGACCAAAGAGGGGGACCUUCGGGCCUCUUGCCAUCAGAUGUGCCCAGAUGGGAUUAGCUUGUUGGUGAGGUAACGGCUCACCAAGGCGACGAUCCCUAGCUGGUCUGAGAGGAUGACCAGCCACACUGGAACUGAGACACGGUCCAGACUCCUACGGGAGGCAGCAGUGGGGAAUAUUGCACAAUGGGCGCAAGCCUGAUGCAGCCAUGCCGCGUGUAUGAAGAAGGCCUUCGGGUUGUAAAGUACUUUCAGCGGGGAGGAAGGUGUUGUGGUUAAUAACCGCAGCAAUUGACGUUACCCGCAGAAGAAGCACCGGCUAACUCCGUGCCAGCAGCCGCGGUAAUACGGAGGGUGCAAGCGUUAAUCGGA
This 559-nucleotide ribosomal RNA is filed under the name Salmonella enterica subsp. enterica. Its description in RNAcentral is "bacterial SSU rRNA". It matches the Rfam family "Bacterial small subunit ribosomal RNA", at positions 1 to 549 of the family's 1533-position model. Lineage: Bacteria; Pseudomonadati; Pseudomonadota; Gammaproteobacteria; Enterobacterales; Enterobacteriaceae. The record is from RNAcentral.